GGCUAUACAUGCAAGUCGAGCGAAUGGAUUAAGAGCUUGCUCUUAUGAAGUUAGCGGCGGACGGGUGAGUAACACGUGGGUAACCUGCCCAUAAGACUGGGAUAACUCCGGGAAACCGGGGCUAAUACCGGAUAACAUUUUGAACCGCAUGGUUCGAAAUUGAAAGGCGGCUUCGGCUGUCACUUAUGGAUGGACCCGCGUCGCAUUAGCUAGUUGGUGAGGUAACGGCUCACCAAGGCAACGAUGCGUAGCCGACCUGAGAGGGUGAUCGGCCACACUGGGACUGAGACACGGCCCAGACUCCUACGGGAGGCAGCAGUAGGGAAUCUUCCGCAAUGGACGAAAGUCUGACGGAGCAACGCCGCGUGAGUGAUGAAGGCUUUCGGGUCGUAAAACUCUGUUGUUAGGGAAGAACAAGUGCUAGUUGAAUAAGCUGGCACCUUGACGGUAUCGCUAACUCAGAAAGCCACGGUCUAACUACGAGCCAGUCAGCCGCAGUAAUAGCGUCGAGCGUGGCAGAGCGUUAUCAGGAGAUCAUUGGAUGCGUAAAGCGCGCGCAGGUGCUUGCUCAAGCUCUGAUGUAGAAAGCCCACGGCUCAACCGUGGAGGAUUCAUCUGGAAACUGGCAGACUGGAGUGCAGACAGAGGAAAGUGUGAAUUCCAUGUGUAGCGUGUGAAGAUGCGUAGAGAUAUGGCAGGAACACCAGUGGCGAAGGCGGACUUCUCUGAUCUGAAACUGACACUUGAGGCGCGAAAGCGUGAGGGAGCCAAAACAGGAUUAGAUACCCUUGGUUAGUUCCACGCCGAAAACGAUAAGUGGCUAAGUGUUAGAGGGUUUCCGCCCUCUAGUGCUGAAAGUUAACGCCAUUAAAGCAAUUCCGCCUUGGGGAGUACGGCCGCAAGGGCUGGAAACUCAAAGGAAUGUGACGGGGGCCCGCACAACCGCUGCACCAUGUGAUUUAAUUGGAGCCAAUCAGCGCUAUAAACCAUAACCAUGUUCUUGACUCUUCUUCAGACAACCUCUAGAGAUAUGGCCUUCUCCUUCCGGGACCAGAGUACCAGGUGGUCCAGGGUGUUCUUCAGUUCGGUUGGGGAGAUGUUGGGUUAAUUCCCGCAAGGAGCGCAACCCUUGUUUUUAGUUCCCUCCAUUAAGUGGGCCAUUUUAAGGGGACUCCCGGGGCCAAACCGGAGGAAGGGGGGGAGGAGGUCAAUUCUUCAUCCCCCUUAGGCCCUGGGUUCCCCACGGGUUCCAAUGGACGGUACAAAGAGUGCCAAGACCGGGAGGGGGAGUUAUUUUCAUAAACCCGUUUCCAGUUCGGAUGGUGGGUUGCAAUUGCCUUCCAGGAAGCGGGAUUCCCUGGUAUUCGGGGUUCACCAUGCCGCGGGGAAUACGUUCCCGGCCUUGGUCCCCCCCGCCCGUCCCACCAGGGGAGUUGGUACCACCCGAAGUCGUGGGGGUACCUUUUGGAGCCAGCCGCCUAAGU
RNAcentral lists this ribosomal RNA (1484 nucleotides) under Bacillus albus. RNAcentral describes it as "bacterial SSU rRNA". It matches the Rfam family "Bacterial small subunit ribosomal RNA". Lineage: Bacteria; Bacillati; Bacillota; Bacilli; Caryophanales; Bacillaceae. The record is from RNAcentral.